Molecule: ribosomal RNA, 433 nt
Filed under: uncultured bacterium
Lineage: Bacteria
Description: partial 16S ribosomal RNA
Rfam family: Bacterial small subunit ribosomal RNA
Source: RNAcentral
AACGAACGCUGGCGGCAUGCCUAACACAUGCAAGUCGAACGAGACCUCCGGGUCUAGUGGCGCACGGGUGCGUCACGCGGGGGAACCUGCCCUUAGGUUCGGAAUAACACCCCGACAGGGGUGCUAAUACCGGAUAAUGUCCUCGGACACAAGAUUUGUCGUCUUUGGAUGGGCACGCGUUGGAUUAACUAGUUGGUAGGGGAAAAGCCUACCAAGGGGAAGAUCCAUAGCUGGUCUGAGAGAAGGAUCAGCGACCCUGGGACGGAGACACGGCCCAGAAUCCUGCGGGAUGCAGCAGUGCCUAAUAGUGGACGAUCGGCGAAGGCCUGAUCCAGCAAUGCCGGGUAAGUGAUGAUGUCCUUAAGGUUAUCAAGCCCUUUUACACGGGGUGAUAAUGACCGUACCGGGAGAAUAAGCACCGGCUAACUCCGUG